UAACCUGCCCAAGAGAUCGGGAUAACACCUGGAAACAGAUGCUAAUACCGGAUAACAACAGAUGAUGCCUAUCAACUGUUUAAAAGAUGGUUCUGCUAUCACUCUUGGAUGGACCUGCGGUGCAUUAGCUAGUUGGUAGGGUAACGGCCUACCAAGGCGAUGAUGCAUAGCCGAGUUGAGAGACUGAUCGGCCACAUUGGGACUGAGACACGGCCCAAACUCCUACGGAAGGCAGCAGCC
This 240-nucleotide ribosomal RNA is filed under the name uncultured Lactobacillus sp. RNAcentral describes it as "partial 16S ribosomal RNA". It matches the Rfam family "Bacterial small subunit ribosomal RNA", at positions 122 to 355 of the family's 1533-position model. The record is from RNAcentral. Lineage: Bacteria; Bacillati; Bacillota; Bacilli; Lactobacillales; Lactobacillaceae.